AUUGAACGCUGGCGGCAUGCUUUACACAUGCAAGUCGAACGGUAACAGGGAGCUUGCUCCGCUGACGAGUGGCGAACGGGUGAGUAAUGCAUCGGAACGUGCCGUGUAAUGGGGGAUAACGUAGCGAAAGUUACGCUAAUACCGCAUACGCCCUGAGGGGGAAAGCGGGGGAUCGUAAGACCUCGCGUUAUACGAGCGGCCGAUGUCGGAUUAGCUAGUUGGUGGGGUAAAGGCCUACCAAGGCGACGAUCCGUAGCGGGUCUGAGAGGAUGAUCCGCCACACUGGGACUGAGACACGGCCCAGACUCCUACGGGAGGCAGCAGUGGGGAAUUUUGGACAAUGGGGGCAACCCUGAUCCAGCCAUGCCGCGUGAGUGAAGAAGGCCUUCGGGUUGUAAA
This 399-nucleotide ribosomal RNA is filed under the name uncultured bacterium. Its description in RNAcentral is "bacterial SSU rRNA". It matches the Rfam family "Bacterial small subunit ribosomal RNA", at positions 30 to 429 of the family's 1533-position model. The record is from RNAcentral.